This 415-nucleotide ribosomal RNA is filed under the name Flavobacterium sp. RNAcentral describes it as "bacterial SSU rRNA". It matches the Rfam family "Bacterial small subunit ribosomal RNA", at positions 114 to 527 of the family's 1533-position model. The record is from RNAcentral. Lineage: Bacteria; Pseudomonadati; Bacteroidota; Flavobacteriia; Flavobacteriales; Flavobacteriaceae.
AGCGUAUGCAAUCUGCCUUCCACAGAGGGAUAGCCCAGAGAAAUUUGGAUUAAUACCUCAUAGCAUCAUGACCCGGCAUCGGAUAUGAUUAAAGUCACAACGGUGGAAGAUGAGCAUGCGUCCCAUUAGCUAGUUGGUAAGGUAACGGCUUACCAAGGCUACGAUGGGUAGGGGUCCUGAGAGGGAGAUCCCCCACACUGGUACUGAGACACGGACCAGACUACUACGGGAGGCAGCAGUGAGGAAUAUUGGUCAAUGGGCGCAAGCCUGAACCAGCCAUGCCGCGUGCAGGAUGACGGUCCUAUGGAUUGUAAACUGCUUUUGUACGGGAAGAAACCCUCCUACGUGUAGGAGCUUGACGGUACCGUAAGAAUAAGGAUCGGCUAACUCCGAAGCCAGCAGCCGCGGUCAAUAG